CCUACGGGUGGCAGCAGUGAGGAAUAUUGGUCAAUGGACGAGAGUCUGAACCAGCCAAGUAGCGUGCAGGAUGACUGCCCUAUGGGUUGUAAACUUCUUUUAUAUGGGAAUAAAAUGUUCCACGUGUGGGUUUUUGUAUGUACCGUAUGAAUAAGGACCGGCUAAAUCCGUGCCAGCAGCCGCGGUAAUACGGUGGGUCCGAGCGUUAUCCGGAUUUAUUGGGUUUAAAGGGAGCGUAGGUGGUGUGUUAAGUCAGUUGUGAAAGGCUGUGGCUCAACCAUAGAAUUGCGGUUGAAACUGGCAGGCUUGAGUGCAGGAGAGGUGAGCGGAAUUCGUGGUGUAGCGGUGAAAUGCUUAGAUAUCACGAAGAACUCCGAUUGCGAAGGCAGCUCACUGGACUGCAACUGACGCUGAGGCUCGAAAGUGUGGGUAUCAAACAGGAUUAGAUACCCGUGUAGUC
This 460-nucleotide ribosomal RNA is filed under the name uncultured bacterium. Its description in RNAcentral is "partial 16S ribosomal RNA". It matches the Rfam family "Bacterial small subunit ribosomal RNA", at positions 338 to 795 of the family's 1533-position model. The record is from RNAcentral.